AACUGAAACAUCUAAGUACCCGGAGGAAGAGAAAGAAUAAUCGAUUCCCUGAGUAGCGGCGAGCGAAACGGGAAGAGCCCAAACCGAAUCCUUCGGGAUUCGGGGUUGUAGGACCCUCUUUUAAGAAUGGUUUCCUAGCUGAACAGGACUGGAAAGUCCGGGCAGAGAAGGUAACACCCCUGUAAACGAAAGGAAAGCAUUCUGUGAGGGAAUCCUGAGUACCGCGGGACACGUGAAACCCCGUGGGAAGCAGGGAGGACCACCUCCCAAGGCUAAAUACUUCUUAGCGACCGAUAGUGAACCAGUACCGUGAGGGAAAGGUGAAAAGCACCUCGGAAGAGGAGUGAAAAAGAACCUGAAACCGUGCGCUUACAAGCAGUUAUAGCUUGCUCUCAGUUUACUGAGAGCGAGUGAUAGCGUGCCUUUUGUAGAAUGAACCGGCGAGUUACGGUAUGUAGCGAGGUUAAGGCGAGAAGCUGGAGCCGAAGCGAAAGCGAGUCUGAAAAGGGCG
RNAcentral lists this ribosomal RNA (511 nucleotides) under Desulfosporosinus cupriresistens. RNAcentral's name for it is "Desulfosporosinus sp. BG Bacterial large subunit ribosomal RNA". It matches the Rfam family "Bacterial large subunit ribosomal RNA", at positions 191 to 694 of the family's 2925-position model. The record is from Rfam by way of RNAcentral. Lineage: Bacteria; Bacillati; Bacillota; Clostridia; Eubacteriales; Desulfitobacteriaceae.